UACAGAGGGUGCAAGCGUUGUUCGGAAUUAUUGGGCGUAAAGGGCGCGUAGGCGGCCUUCUAAGUCGAACGUGAAAUCCCUGGGCUCAACCCAGGAACUGCGUCCGAUACUGGAAGGCUUGAAUCCGGGAGAGGGAUGCGGAAUUCCAGGUGUAGCGGUGAAAUGCGUAGAUAUCUGGAGGAACACCGGUGGCGAAGGCGGCAUCCUGGACCGGUAUUGACGCUGAGGCGCGAAAGCCAGGGGAGCAAACAGG
Molecule: ribosomal RNA, 253 nt
Filed under: uncultured bacterium
Lineage: Bacteria
Description: partial 16S ribosomal RNA
Rfam family: Bacterial small subunit ribosomal RNA
Source: RNAcentral